GAUGAACGCUGGCGGCGUGCCUAAUACAUGCAAGUCGAGCGAACAGACGAGGAGCUUGCUCCUCUGACGUUAGCGGCGGACGGGUGAGUAACCCGUGGAUAACCUACCUAUAAGACUGGGAUAACUUCGGGAAACCGGAGCUAAUACCGGAUAAUAUAUUGAACCGCAUGGUUCAAUAGUGACAGACGGUUUUGCUGUCACUUAUAGAUGGAUCCGCGCCGCAUUAGCUAGUUGGUAAGGUAACGGCUUACCAAGGCGACGAUGCGUAGCCGACCUGAGAGGGUUAUCGGCCACACUGGAACUGAGACACGGUCCAGACUCCUACGGGACGCAGCAGUAGGGAAUCUUCCACGAUGGGCGAAAGCCUGACGGAGCAACGCCGCGUGAGUGAUGAAGGUCUUCGGAUCGUAAAACUCUGUUAUUAGGGAAGAACAAAUGUGUAAGUAACUAUGCACGUCUUGACGGUACCUAAUCAGAAAGCCACGGCUAACUACGUG
This 497-nucleotide ribosomal RNA is filed under the name uncultured bacterium. Its description in RNAcentral is "partial 16S ribosomal RNA". It matches the Rfam family "Bacterial small subunit ribosomal RNA", at positions 28 to 507 of the family's 1533-position model. The record is from RNAcentral.